AGUGAACGCUGGCGGUAGGCCUAACACAUGCAAGUCGAACGGCAGCACAGUAAGAGCUUGCUCUUACGGGUGGCGAGUGGCGGACGGGUGAGGAAUACAUCGGAAUCUACUUUUUCGUGGGGGAUAACGUAGGGAAACUUACGCUAAUACCGCAUACGACCUACGGGUGAAAGCAGGGGAUCUUCGGACCUUGCGCGAUUGAAUGAGCCGAUGUCGGAUUAGCUAGUUGGCGGGGUAAAGGCCCACCAAGGCGACGACCCGUAGCUGGUCUGAGAGGAUGAUCAGCCACACUGGAACUGAGACACGGUCCAGACUCCUACGGGAGGCAGCAGUGGGGAAUAUUGGACAAUGGGCGCAAGCCUGAUCCAGCCAUACCGCGUGGGUGAAGAAGGCCUUCGGGUUGUAAAGCCCUUUUGUUGGGAAAGAAAAGCAGCAGGUUAAUACCCCGCUGUUCUGACGGUACCCAAAGAAUGAGCACCGGCUAACUUCGUG
This 492-nucleotide ribosomal RNA is filed under the name uncultured bacterium. RNAcentral describes it as "partial 16S ribosomal RNA". It matches the Rfam family "Bacterial small subunit ribosomal RNA", at positions 29 to 507 of the family's 1533-position model. The record is from RNAcentral.